GAUAUUGUACCUUAGGAUUGAGGAGCAAUUGAAUUUUUUGGACAUAAAGACAGGCUAGUCCUGUCUUGAAUGUAGUUUCUGUUUUUUGGUUGAGUUCCAAGUAUAUAAGGCAUUUCAGUUGAAGCGAGGAAUUAAUAUCAACAAAGCGUUCUUUAGUUUCUGUUGACUUCGGUUUUUUGUAGGGACGACGUGUCCAGCAAAUCCCAAUUCCUCUCAUAUCUGCGUAGGCGUAGCCUCUUCCUGUGCAUUUGGACAAAUAGUUAGAGCACACAGCUUUCUCUGGUUGUGGGAGAGGUCAAGAGCACUUUAAUGGUUAAGUCAAUCUAUUUGUGAGUGAAUAUUUGGGUGUGGGACAUUCUAAAUAUGCGAGUCACUAUAAAAAGGCAUUUGGAUCUGAGAGAGAGAGAGAGAGAUAGAGCAACUUUAUAGUUGAAUGUAUAAGAUUGCAUUACCUUCAAAUGACACUAAACGUGAGCUUUUAAAGUAAUAGAGGAGAAAUUACCGCCAUUAAAUGAAGAGACACGUGGCCUCAUCCUGAAGGUCAAGGCGCCGUGUCAUUCUAUCAAUCCUAGGCCCACGUGCAUUUAAUGUUCUAACCAUUUGCAAAACUAUGCCUAGCUUGUAAGGAUUAUACUUGACAUUUUGACUUAUGAAAGUGUUCUCAACUAAGAUUUUGAUGAAUUUUAAAAGAUUAUGAAUCUUGAUGAAUUUCAUGGAUUUGAAUCGAUUUUCACAAGUUUCAUAAUAAUUUCAUCAAAUAUGGUG
Molecule: long non-coding RNA, 765 nt
Filed under: Olea europaea subsp. europaea
Lineage: Eukaryota; Viridiplantae; Streptophyta; Magnoliopsida; Lamiales; Oleaceae
Source: RNAcentral